AUGGUCGGCUUCUCGAACGCCACCACUUGUGCUCUCCUCCUCCACCUCGUCAUCUUCUUCUACCUUCCUACUCCUGCCGUCUCCUUGUCCGUCAACUACUCCACGUUUAGCACAGAAGACCAGAAGGACUUCAAGAUCGAAGGCAACACAUCCUUCGGCCCCAACGGAGUGACCUACAUCAUCACGAGGAGUUACGGUAGCGGCGUCGACAACAUCAUUGGCCGGGCGUUGUACAACGCCCAGCCGGUGCAGCUCUGGGACAAGUCGACCGGCGAGGUGGCCAGCUUCACCACGCGGUUCCAGUUCGACAUGUCCAGCGACAACAGCAACAGGGGCAUGGCAUUUUUCCUCGCCAGCUACCCGUCUAGCCUACCCGACGACGGCCCCGCCAACAACCUCGGCCUCACUAACCAAAGUGCAGACGCUGUGGCGUCCGGCGACAGCCGGUUCGUGGCGGUGGAGUUCGACAACUUCAACAAUACAACAGUAUCCGACCCCGACGCCAGCUACGACCACAUCGGCAUCGACGUCAACUCCCUCAGAUCGGUGAGCACACUGCCCCUGCCGAGCUCCAUCUUCACGAGCUACUCCCUGACCUCGACCGCGGUGAUCGAGUACGACAAUGUUUCCAACAUCUUAGCGGUGACGUUAUGGGUCGAGGACUACCUCCGGCAAUACAAACAGAGCUACAACCUUAGCUUCAAGGUUGACCUCAAGAGCGCACUGCCGGAUCAGGUCUCCGUUGGCUUCUCCGCGUCCACGUCCAACGCCAUCCCAUUUACUGGUGCAUAUACGAUUAUAUAUGUAACAUCUUGGUCCUUCGACUCUUCGUUGGAACCACGGCCAGAACCACCACCACCACCACACUCCCCGUCAGGACCAGUUUCUGGAGUUAUAGCCGGAGCGGCUGCCGGCGCAACAAUGUUCCUUGUGCUGCUCUUCGCCGCUGUAGCGGCACUUGUAAUAUGCUGUCGUCGUCGGAACAUCAUGGAGACGGAGGAGGAUUACACAGACUCAGAAGACGAAGGCGAGCCGAUGACGGAGAUUGAGAUGGGGACGAGGCCAAGGCGGUUCCCAUACCACGAGCUCGUGGAUGCGACGAGGAACUUCGCCGCGGAGGAGAAGCUUGGGCAAGGUGGCUUUGGUGCGGUUUACCAAGGCUAUCUGAGAGAGCCAGCUGGGCUUGCCGUGGCCAUAAAAAGGUUGCAGUCUUCCAUACAAGGAAAGAAGGAGUACAAGUCGGAGAUCAAGGUGAUAAGCAGGCUGCGUCACCGGAACCUCGUGCAGCUCAUUGGCUGGUGCCAUGGCCGUGAUAAGGAGCUCCUGCUGGUCUACGAGCUCAUGCCCAAUCGCAGCCUCGACAUCCAUCUCCAUGGCAAGCAGGGCACCUUCCUCACAUGGCCAAUGAGGAUGAGGAUAUUGCUGGAGCUUGGGUCCGCACUGCUGUACCUCCAUGAGGAGUGGGAGCAAUGUGUGCUUCACCGGGACAUCAAGCCCAGCAACGUCAUGCUUGACGAGUCCUUUGGAGCCAAGCUAGGCGACUUCGGACUCGCAAGGCUCGUUGACCACUCCGCUGGGAUGCAGACCAUGACUGCAAUCGCGGGAACUCCAGGCUACUUGGACCCCGAGUGCGUGAACACCGGCAAGGCCAGCGCCGACUCCGAUGUGUACAGCUUCGGCGUGGUUCUACUGGAGGUGGCAUGCGGCAGGAGGCCAAUGAGCCCAGCCAACCAGGACAAGCAGAAGAAUGGCGGCGUCUUCCGGCUGGUCGAGUGGGUCUGGGGACUAUAUGGCCGGGGAUCCAUCCUUGAAGCCACCGACGAGCGGCUGAACGGUGACUACAACGCUGCGGAGGUGGAGAGCGUGAUGGUUGUCGGGUUGUGGUGCGCGCACCCAAACCCGAGUGCACGACCAUCCAUCAGGACAGCCCUGGCCACGCUCCAACCCAAGGCCGACCAAGCCUACCAGCUGCCAGUGCUUCCUUCCAAGAUGCCAGUGCCGAUGUAUGAGCCGUUGAGGCCACUCUCCUGGGCCAAUGUCGUUGGGAUGUCAUCAUCAUCCUCCCACACCGUUGGGAUGUCAUCAUCGACGUCGUCCAGCAUGCCGAUGCACACUUCUUGCACCACAGCCUCCGACGCUAGCACUUCGACAGACAGUUCGAAGACCUCUUCUUCACUACUCAAACAUCAGUAG
This 2193-nucleotide ribosomal RNA is filed under the name Triticum aestivum (bread wheat). Its description in RNAcentral is "partial small subunit ribosomal RNA". The record is from RNAcentral. Lineage: Eukaryota; Viridiplantae; Streptophyta; Magnoliopsida; Poales; Poaceae.